This 69-nucleotide transfer RNA is filed under the name Macaca sylvanus (Barbary ape). RNAcentral describes it as "tRNA-Ser(UCN)". It matches the Rfam family "tRNA". Rfam says of the family: Transfer RNA (tRNA) molecules are approximately 80 nucleotides in length. The record is from RNAcentral. Lineage: Eukaryota; Metazoa; Chordata; Mammalia; Primates; Cercopithecidae.
GAAAAAGUUAUAAGGGUUAUAAGACUGGCUUGAAACCAGUUCUAGGGGGUUCGACUCUCUCCUUUUUCG